UACGGAGGGGGCUAGCGUUGUUCGGAAUUACUGGGCGUAAAGCGCACGUAGGCGGCCUGUCAAGUUGGGGGUGAAAGCCCGGGGCUCAACCCCGGAACUGCCUUCAAGACUGACGGGCUUGAGACCGGAAGAGGAGAGUGGAAUUCCCAGUGUAGAGGUGAAAUUCGUAGAUAUUGGGAAGAAUACCAGUGGCGAAGGCGUCUCUCUGGUCCGGUUCUGACGCUGAGGUGCGAAAGCGUGGGGAGCAAACAGG
Molecule: ribosomal RNA, 253 nt
Filed under: uncultured bacterium
Lineage: Bacteria
Description: partial 16S ribosomal RNA
Rfam family: Bacterial small subunit ribosomal RNA
Source: RNAcentral